CUCUCCGUGGCCUUGGGCCUUGCCUUCCUUCCCUCUCAAGUCUUAACGCCUUGCCUCUGUUGUUGCUGCUGUGUAUGUGUUGUUGUGUGGUUGUUUCCGGUCCCGUAUCAUCCAAGCCAACAAACUAGCGAAGGUAGGCGCACAAGCAUACACAUUCACACUAGCAACAAUGAACAACAAGGCCUCCGUUUCCAAAGACCUCAACGCCAAACACCUCAAGGUUUUAGAAGGCCUUCUUAAGCUGCCACAAAACAGGGAAUGUGCUGAUUGCCGGAGCAAAGCCCCGCGAUGGGCUAGUGUCAACCUGGGAAUAUUUAUUUGCAUGCAGUGCUCAGGAAUUCAUCGGAGUCUUGGAGUGCAUAUUUCAAAGGUACGGUCUACAACUUUGGAUACAUGGCUGCCAGAACAGGUUGCUUUUAUGGAAUCCAUGGGUAAUGAAAAGGCAAACAGUUAUUGGGAAAAAGAAUUGCCACCAAAUUUUGACAGAAGUGGGACUGAGAAAUUUAUUCGUGCCAAGUAUGAGGGGAAAAUGUGGGUUUCGAAGAAUGCAAAACAGCCAGCUCCUAAACCAGUAGAUAUGAGCAUCAGUUCCAACAGUUUGGUAAAGGGCGGACCCACACGUGGAGUUCCUAAGAAAACAAGGAGACAUUCUCUUGAGGAGGCAAUGCUUUUUACGAACCUGGCAGAAGCUGCUCCUACAGUGGCAAGAUCCCGUGGGGGUUCUUUAGAUUUGAAUCAUAAGUUUAGUACGUCACCUCCAGCAAAGGGGCCACCACCAAUGAUGGAAUGUGAUACAGUCACAAAAAAGAUCAACGGUACAACAGACCUAUUCAGCUUGCUUUAUGUUCAUGAUGCAAAGCAGAAGUAUGCCACUCCUCCGCUCUGGCAAACUUUUGAUUGAGAAGAUAAUUUUAAGUGAAGCCCAUGGAAUUCACUAAUGUUGAACCAGCUGUGGAAGUUAACGCCAUAGUUUAUAACUGAACUAGAUUAGUUGCAACUUGCAAGGAUGAGGUUGUAUUUGCGCUUGUUCUCAUGUCGAUUUGCUUGUUCGUUCAAUCGUUCUACACUGCAUACAUUGCAAGAGAAGAAAAGAUCUGAAACAAUCAAAAGAUUUAGUGUUGGACCUAUGGCCGCCUUCUCCAAUGUCUCCAUCUCAUAUUUUUUAAUAACGCAGACUGGAGAAAGAAUUAAUGUAAUAAUUGUUAUAAGAAUUAUUAAACAGAACAAAGAUGUGUUACUCGCAAACAAUUAAUUGAUCUGCUUCGAUGA
This is an RNA transcript of Malus domestica (apple), 1269 nucleotides long. It is a transcript of the gene named probable ADP-ribosylation factor GTPase-activating protein AGD15, with no coding region annotated. The record is from RefSeq and is a predicted model, not a curated record. NCBI's taxonomy places the organism in Eukaryota, Viridiplantae, Streptophyta, Magnoliopsida, Rosales, Rosaceae.